GGAGAGGUGCAGGAGUGGUUGAACUGGCACGCCUGGAACGCGUGUAUGGUGGCAACACCAUCGUGGGUUCGAAUCCCACCCUCUCCGCCA
This 90-nucleotide transfer RNA is filed under the name Candidatus Saccharimonadota bacterium. RNAcentral's name for it is "tRNA-Ser". It matches the Rfam family "tRNA". From Rfam's summary of the family: Transfer RNA (tRNA) molecules are approximately 80 nucleotides in length. Their secondary structure includes four short double-helical elements and three loops (D, anti-codon, and T loops). Further hydrogen bonds mediate the characteristic L-shaped molecular structure. tRNAs have two regions of fundamental functional importance: the anti-codon, which is responsible for specific mRNA codon recognition, and the 3' end, to which the tRNAs corresponding amino acid is attached (by aminoacyl-tRNA synthetases). tRNAs cope with the degeneracy of the genetic code in two manners: having more than one tRNA (with a specific anti-codon) for a particular amino acid; and 'wobble' base-pairing, i.e. permitting non-standard base-pairing at the 3rd anti-codon position. The record is from RNAcentral. Lineage: Bacteria; Candidatus Saccharimonadota.